AGGGUCCUUCCACGCACAGCCCUGUCCUCUCCCACCUGUCCCCAGCACUGUCACACUGCCUGCCUGUGCUGUUCCCAAGCGGUGACUAGAUGUGGCCUUCACCUCCUCGCAUCUCUCCGGUCUGGAAAUGGACCCUGAAGUCACUAAGAGCCGGCAGAUACAUUCUGCCUUCACCAGGCCUUCCCCGGAGAACUGCACCGUGCGUUUCCUCCAGUGUGAUGGACUCGGAGGUCCCACACACCUCCACUCCCAAGGAUGCAGCACGACUAACUGGGUCCCAUAGCUGUAAACUCCACAUGCCAAUGCUUCACACCCAAACCUAGCCCACGGGCAGGGGACCUCACGGACACCGCCCAGCAGGACUGCAUACAUAACCCUGGCCUUAGACCUCAAUGUGCCCCUCUCCUGAAUGCCUGCCCUGCUGAAGACAAAUUUUCUGGUUUGGAAAAGAGGACAAAGAAAGUCAGACAUUUGAAAAACUUCUCAGCAAGCCAAAUUUUGCUUUCGCAGAAGUGUGUACCAUUGGACAAAGGUCAGCAAAGGGCAGACUCACUGAAUUCGCCUUUCCCCCACAUUGUACCCCUGAAGGAUGCAGUUGUCCCCGUGACCUGCACCAUUGGUGGGGGUAUGGCCUCACAACCCAACCCAAAUGACUAGUUCAAUGAGGUCACGGUUGCUAGGCAAAGUAAAUCUUGUAAUCUGGAAAGACUUCCCUUACGAAAUUUCAUGGCAGGUGGGCAGAUGGCCCUUUGUUUCAAGUUUCCAAGGAAUGAUGACACAAGCACCUGUCCAUUUUACAAAAGUAGGAUUCCUACAAAGUAGAAUUAUUUUGAUUAUUUCCUUUGGCAGAAAAGACUACCUUUUUCCACAUUUCCUGAGUUCCACUGCAUUUCCUGAGUGUGUACUUCUUUAACUCUUGCUAAUAAAUCUGUCUGUACCUCUCA
Chinchilla lanigera (long-tailed chinchilla) is the source of this 944-nucleotide long non-coding RNA. RefSeq lists it as uncharacterized. NCBI's taxonomy places the organism in Eukaryota, Metazoa, Chordata, Mammalia, Rodentia, Chinchillidae. The record is from RefSeq and is a predicted model, not a curated record. The transcript has 2 exons.